GUCCUAGACAGAUGCCUGUCCCUUCUCUUUGUGGGCAUGUUCGUCUUUCUCUGAUCGCAGCCUCUUUAUACCCACAGAUUUCCCCCAGUCAACAACUCGUUGAGUGUCUACUCUGGGGAACUCUUGUUUGGGCUCAUUUUCGGCCACCUCGAAUAUGUGGAAUGAUUUCAGGCUAAGAUGGAUCCCACCAGUUCUCAUCCAUGCACCCUGUCCUGGGGCUGGGACAGUAAGGAACAUUGCCAGCUUCUGUUAGAUUUCUGUUUUUGCUCAUGACUCUCUUCUGGCAUCCUUAUGCAGCACUGGGCAAGAAGAGCCAGUGGACCAGCUUUGCCAGGAUCUAUCCACCUUCCCAUCUCACAGCCCAGUCUCCAGCUCAGAAGCCAAGAAAUCCAUGCCUUUGUCCCCUGGUAUCGACCAUUUAUGGAAUCCCCCUGCCAGCCCUUGGUGGUGUAAAUGGCAGAUGGGAACAGAUGACUGUGGCCUCUCAGCAUCCUGCCUUCCUGUGGUCCUGGGGCAAGUCCAGCUUCAGAGGGAGAACAGGUGCACUGGGUGGAUUGCCUGUGGGAGAAGUUGAAGACUUUCUGGAAGGUUCAGGAGGGUGGGGAAGAUGAGGAGGAGGCAUGAGAAAAAGCUUCCAGGUUCAGCAGUGACCUUGAUCAGAAAAGAAGCUGAUGUCUUGGGAUAUGGCAAGCUUGGAUGAUUCUUGACAGCAAAGAGCUUGGAAUCAGGAUUUGGACUGCUUGUAGGAAAGUUUGAAUUAUCUUCAAAGCCUGUCUUAAAGUGU
This 784-nucleotide long non-coding RNA is filed under the name Mus pahari (shrew mouse). RNAcentral describes it as "lncRNA (MGP_PahariEiJ_G0004628.1)". Lineage: Eukaryota; Metazoa; Chordata; Mammalia; Rodentia; Muridae. The record is from RNAcentral.